RNAcentral lists this ribosomal RNA (764 nucleotides) under uncultured bacterium. Its description in RNAcentral is "bacterial SSU rRNA". It matches the Rfam family "Bacterial small subunit ribosomal RNA", at positions 1 to 751 of the family's 1533-position model. The record is from RNAcentral.
UUGAAUUAGCGGCCGCGCAAUCGCCCUUGAGAUUUGAUCAUGGCUCAGGACGAACGCUGGCUGCGUGCUUAACACAUGCAAGUCGAACGCGUGAAGCCCCAGCUUGCUGGGGUGGAUGAGUGGCGAACGGGUGAGUAACACGUGAGUAACCUGCCCCCGACUUCGGGAUAAGCCCGGGAAACUGGGUCUAAUACCGGAUAUGACUCUUCUAACGCAUGUUGGAGAGUGGAAAGUUUUUCGGUUGGGGAUGGGCUCGCGGCCUAUCAGUUUGUUGGUGAGGUAAUGGCUCACCAAGACGACGACGGGUAGCCGGCCUGAGAGGGCGACCGGCCACACUGGGACUGAGACACGGCCCAGACUCCUACGGGAGGCAGCAGUGGGGAAUAUUGCACAAUGGGGGAAACCCUGAUGCAGCGACGCAGCGUGCGGGAUGACGGCCUUCGGGUUGUAAACCGCUUUCAGCAGGGAAGAAGCCCUUCGGGGUGACGGUACCUGCAGAAGAAGUACCGGCUAACUACGUGCCAGCAGCCGCGGUAAUACGUAGGGUACAAGCGUUGUCCGGAAUUAUUGGGCGUAAAGAGCUCGUAGGUGGUUGGUCACGUCUGCUGUGGAAACGCAACGCUUAACGUUGCGCGUGCAGUGGGUACGGGCUGACUAGAGUGCAGUAGGGAGUCUGGAAUUCCUGGUGUACGGUGAAAUGCGCAGAUAUCAGAGGAACACCGGUGGCCGAAAGCGGGACUCUGGGGCUGUAACUGACACUGGAG